Molecule: ribosomal RNA, 457 nt
Filed under: uncultured bacterium
Lineage: Bacteria
Description: bacterial SSU rRNA
Rfam family: Bacterial small subunit ribosomal RNA
Source: RNAcentral
GGACAAUGGGCGCAAGCCUGAUCCAGCCAUGCCGCGUGAGUGAUGAAGGCCCUAGGGUUGUAAAGCUCUUUUACCCGGGAAGAUAAUGACGGUACCGGGAGAAUAAGCCCCGGCUAACUUCGUGCCAGCAGCCGCGGUAAUACGAAGGGGGCUAGCGUUGUUCGGAAUCACUGGGCGUAAAGCGCACGUAGGCGGAUCUUUAAGUCAGGGGUGAAAUCCCGGGGCUCAACCUCGGAACUGCCUUUGAUACUGGAGAUCUUGAGUCCGGGAGAGGUGAGUGGAACUGCNAGUGUAGAGGUGAANUUCGUAGAUAUUCGCAAGAACACCAGUGGCGAAGGCGGCUCACUGGCCCGGUACUGACGCUGANGUGCGAAAGCGUGGGGANCAAACAGGAUUANAUACCCUGGUAGUCCNCCCCGUAAACGAUGGAUGCUACCNNUUAGNCAGCUUGCUGCUU